GGGGAUUUAGCUCAGUGGUAGAGUGCUUGCCUAGGAAGCGUGAGGCCCUGGGUUCGGUCCCCAGCUCUG
Non-coding RNA from Rattus norvegicus (Norway rat), 69 nucleotides. Lineage: Eukaryota; Metazoa; Chordata; Mammalia; Rodentia; Muridae. The record is from Rfam.